Molecule: long non-coding RNA, 1911 nt
Organism: Passer domesticus (house sparrow)
Lineage: Eukaryota; Metazoa; Chordata; Aves; Passeriformes; Passeridae
Exons: 3
Source: RefSeq, a predicted model, not a curated record
CAGUAACAAGAAAUUCUGUGCUCCAGUGCUCUCUGUAUCUGUGUUACAGAUAUUUGCCUCACAGAUGUGCUUUCUGUGCUACUUCUGCUGGAAGUUACAUUUAGUCUUUGCUCAUAUCCUGAAGGCCAACAGAACAAGCUCCCUGACUGAUUGAUUUCCAGCAUUUUAAAUCCUGGCUGCUGCACUGCCAACAUUGACUCUGAGGGUACCCUUGCCAGCUUUGCCCUGCCACUAGGAAGGCCAUCAGAUUCUAGAAACAUCAGUCUCGUCCCAUUUUUCUGCCCACGUCACAGCGAGUGCUUAGGAAUUCUGAUGAGCUCCAUCUUGCUGGAGGUGAGUUGUGACUCAUGGGACACAGGGACACUCUGUGUCUUUCCCCAGUGUCCUGAGUGUUGAUGGACCUGAUGAGCAUUAGCAUCAAGGAGAGGAGGGUUGUUGCAGCUGUAAUGCAAGAUCAGCACAGCCCUAAACUCCAGUUUGUCACAACCACAGGAGUUCUUUCCUCUUCCUUCCAUCAGAGAAUAUCUUCUAAAAACUCUUGCAGAAAUAUUUUUGGUCUGAAUUAACAAUGGAAUUUCAAGUUUCCCCUGCUUUUAACUUGACCACAUGAGUUUGUAGUGGUUCUGAUUUCAGAGUUCUAUGGACUUCCCAUGAAAACAUUUUCAUUUUCAACUCACCUCUCGGGAAAAUACAGCUCCUACUUCAGCCUGCUGGGGUGGGAUGCUGAAAGCAGUACCAGAAACACAAGUGAGGGAGUACAAGAGAAAGCACAAAUGUUGCUGAGGUGGCUUACUUACCGUGACCAGUAUGAACUUUUGGUAUUUACAUUAAUGUUUACAAUUAAUUUUUUCCUAACCUUCUGCUCAGCCCUUCAGGGAAAAGGCUGAUGUUGCACUCUGGAAGCUGAUACUGCUGAGUUUGAUUAGAUUAUAGGGAAAGAAGAUUUUCCAUCUUCCCACACCUCUUGCCAAUUAAGAUUAGGAGUCUCAUAGUUGAUUCAAAUCUCAUUAUUCCACAAACAUCGUUAAGAUUGUAUGUAGUUCAGUUUUGCAGUAGAAAGCAGUCUAUAAACAAUCAGUUGUAAUAUUAGGGAUGGAAUUUUAAAGUCUUAAUUGGGAUAAUGAAGGAGAUACUAGAGGCUCUCUGAAGGCUAACACUUAAUAUACUUCUGAACAGAGGUUGCUUCCAAUUGUAUAUUUCAGCAAUAUUAUACCAUAGUAACUCAUGGAUGUCCUCGUUUUAUUGACUUCUUUUUGUUCUUACAGCUUUUGGUUGCUGUCUUAAGUCCUUCUGUUAAAAAAAAAAAAGUAUCUGUGGUCAUUGAUUUCUUCCAAAUAUUAUUAACUGUGGUAGGGAAUAUUCCUGACAGGCCUCUUUGUGGGAUGUUUGUAUGCCUUGAAUGCAUAGCCACUCUGUGUGAACAUAAAGAGACUGAUUAGGAUCCAUUCUGCAAGUACAGAAUUUAUAAUAUAUGAUGGAGGAGUGGGAGAUGAGGAUGGAGAAAAGGUGUAAUUAAUUCCUAAUUAUUAGAAAUAUUAUAGGUGUGUAGCCUGAGCUGAUAUCAAGAAUAAUACUGGAGAUGAUAUAUAUGUUUUCCCAGAACAAUGAUACCUGUAAAUGAAAUUACCUGUAACUCCAGUCCUGUGCCUUUCUUCAUUGGACUGCCAGUCAGGCCCCUCUUUAUCAGCUGUGAUAGGUUUGAAAUGUAUAGAUGCAUAUUAAUAACUGAGAUGAGAUGUAUUAAUUUAAUAUUGAUUUCCAUUUUCGACCUAAGCUUCUGCUUCCGUUGAACCCUAAAAAAUUUAUCAUUGUAAUAAUUACAAAUCAAACAGAUUGUUAUUUUCUGUCCUUAGGUAAUAUGAGAUAAUAUUCCAGUUUUAAGCAAAGUUAUGUUUCAUAACAAAAGUUCUU